Pectinophora gossypiella (pink bollworm) is the source of this 994-nucleotide long non-coding RNA. RefSeq lists it as uncharacterized. The transcript has 3 exons. NCBI's taxonomy places the organism in Eukaryota, Metazoa, Arthropoda, Insecta, Lepidoptera, Gelechiidae. The record is from RefSeq and is a predicted model, not a curated record.
CCUCAGAACAAUAACUAAAGCAUAGAAGGAAGGCUAAAAUAAGAAUUCAGAAACUAUAAACCGGCUCUCUUCUAGCUUACGACACAAACUAUGAGUGAGAAAAGGACAAAUGAUUCGCUCUUUGCUUCAUUUUUUCCGAGGUUGUCACAACAUGAAAUGUCAUUUGGACCUAUUGGACUCAUUUUAAUUCGGCCAAAUACAUAGUAACAUACAUAAGAAGAUUUUACUUAUAUUUACCGAACUAUUUGACACGGUCGCGUGAACUUUGUUUACGAGUGUCUUGUGUUCAGAUUGUUUUAAGUGAUAAUUUAACAAUAUUUUUCCAAAUAAAUGGAAAGAAACUUUUAUUUAUAUCAAAUAAUUGAGUGUCUCGACUCUGUGACAUUAUGUCUUGUGUGGUAUGGGGCUGCAGCUCACAUUCAAGAAGAAAAGAAAAUAGCCAACAACUUCUGUCGUUUCAUCGAUAUUAAAUCCAAAAGUGUCGACUGGAUUUACAUGAAAAGUCAGUUCAAGAAGACGAGAUGAAAAAUUUAAAAGAAAAGCUGAACAAGUCACGCCUCAAGAUCAAACGACUUAAUGAAAAAAAAAAUCAAUGUGACAGGGUGUCACAAAGACAGUUUCUAAACAAAUUGACACUUUAGAAAUUAAUAAAUUUGUAUUUAUUGUAAAUAUAAUGUACAUAAUUAAUAACGUGUAUAAUAAAUACUUGCUAAUGAACAGAUUUACGAUCUAAUUUAUAUUUCAUUUUACCUCCUGUUCUUAUUUACUCCUACUCCAACACUCCAGGUUGAUACGAACUGCGCCCAAUAAAGAAUGUAAUGAAUGUUAUAGAUUUGUGUAAGCGACUUAGAUAAAUCUUGACUAAACCUUCCUUUACAAAUACAAAUAUACUUUAUUGCACACAACAUACAAUACUUACAAGUUUUACACGAAAGAUACAGUACACCACCUACCUACCUUUUACUUUCCCUUUCUGUUCUCUUAUGAAUACUUG